AUGGCGCGCUUCCUCGUCGCCCUCCUCGCUGCCACCCUGGUCGCGGUUCAGGCUGGAGGGCAGCUGGGCCACGCAGCGCCGGCGACGGCGGAGGUGUUCUGGCGCGCCGUGCUGCCGCACUCGCCAUUGCCCGACGCCGUUCUCCGCCUCCUCAAACAACCUGCAGCAGAAGCCACCAGCUUCGUAAGAGACCCCGAGGACAGGCCCCCCUUCGACUACCGUGAUUACAGCCGCUCGUCGUCCGAUGAUGAACCAAGCAAGCGCACCGGCGCCGCCUCCGGAGCGGGGGGCUUCGACUACGACAACUACAGCGGCGCCGACGAACGCCGUGGCGCCACCGAUGAAUACAAGGCGCCGAGCAGCAGCCCCGCUGGAAGCGGGGCGUCCAUGGCUAGGGGCGGCAAGGCGGAGACGACGACGGUAUUCUUUCACGAGGAGGCGGUGCGCGUCGGCAAGAGGCUCCCAUUCCGCUUCCCCCCGGCGACUCCCGCCGCUCUCGGUUUCCUGCCGCGCCAGGUCGCCGACUCCGUCCCGUUCACGACGGCCGCGCUGCCAGGCGUCCUCGCGACGUUCGGCGUCGCGUCAGACUCCGCCACGGUGGCCAGCAUGGAGGCGACGCUGCGCGCCUGCGAGUCGCCGACCAUCGCCGGCGAGUCCAAGUUCUGCGCGACUUCGCUGGAGGCCCUGGUGGAGCGCGCCAUGGGAGUGCUGGGGACCCGCGACAUCAGGCCGGUGACGUCGACGCUGCCCCGCGCCGGCGCCCCGCUGCAGACGUACGCCGUCCGCUCCGUGCGGCCGGUGGAGGGGGGGCCUGUCUUCGUGGCGUGCCACGACGAGGCCUACCCGUACACCGUGUACCGGUGCCACACCACCGGCCCGUCCAGGGCGUACAUGGUGGACAUGGAGGGCGCUCGCGGCGGCGACGCGGUGACCAUCGCCACCGUGUGCCACACCGACACGUCCCUGUGGAACCCAGAGCACGUGUCCUUCAAGCUCCUUGGCACCAAGCCCGGCGGCACGCCGGUCUGCCACCUCAUGCCGUACGGGCACAUAAUCUGGGCCAAGAACGUGAAGCGCUCGACGGCGUGA
RNAcentral lists this ribosomal RNA (1089 nucleotides) under Triticum aestivum (bread wheat). Its description in RNAcentral is "partial small subunit ribosomal RNA". The record is from RNAcentral. Lineage: Eukaryota; Viridiplantae; Streptophyta; Magnoliopsida; Poales; Poaceae.